This 817-nucleotide ribosomal RNA is filed under the name uncultured bacterium. RNAcentral describes it as "bacterial SSU rRNA". It matches the Rfam family "Bacterial small subunit ribosomal RNA", at positions 71 to 856 of the family's 1533-position model. The record is from RNAcentral.
UUCUUUAUCACCGAGUGCUUGCACUCACCGAUAAAGAGUUGAGUGGCGAACGGGUGAGUAACACGUGGGCAACCUGCCCAAAAGAGGGGGAUAACACUUGGAAACAGGUGCUAAUACCGCAUAACCAUAGUUACCGCAUGGUAACUAUGUAAAAGGUGGCUAUGCUACCGCUUUUGGAUGGGCCCGCGGCGCAUUAGUUAGUUGGUGGGGUAAAGGCUUACCAAGGCAAUGAUGCGUAGCCGAACUGAGAGGUUGAUCGGCCACAUUGGGACUGAGACACGGCCCAAACUCCUACGGGAGGCAACAGUAGGGAAUCUUCCACAAUGGGCGAAAGCCUGAUGGAGCAACGCCGCGUGGGUGAAGAAGGUCUUCGGAUCGUAAAACCCUGUUGUUAGAGAAGAAAGUGCGUGAGAGUAACUGUUCACGUUUCGACGGUAUCUAACCAGAAAGCCACGGCUAACUACGUGCCAGCAGCCGCGGUAAUACGUAGGUGGCAAGCGUUAUCCGGAUUUAUUGGGCGUAAAGGGAACGCAGGCGGUCUUUUAAGUCUGAUGUGAAAGCCUUCGGCUUAACCGGAGUAGUGCAUUGGAAACUGGGAGACUUGAGUGCAGAAGAGGAGAGUGGAACUCCAUGUGUAGCGGUGAAAUGCGCAGAUAUAUGGAAGAACACCAGUGGCGAAAGCGGCUCUCUGGUCUGUAACUGACGCUGAGGUUCGAAAGCGUGGGUAGCAAACAGGAUUAGAUACCCUGGUAGUCCACGCCGUAAACGAUGAAUGCUAAGUGUUGGAGGGUUUCCGCCCUUCAGUGCUGCAGCUAAC